RNAcentral lists this unclassified non-coding RNA (231 nucleotides) under Hevea brasiliensis (rubber tree). Lineage: Eukaryota; Viridiplantae; Streptophyta; Magnoliopsida; Malpighiales; Euphorbiaceae. The record is from RNAcentral.
AGUAUAAAUUACAUCAAAACCAUUACAGGGAAGAGACAACAAUGACAACCAUGCCACUAACGAUUUUGAAUGUAUAAUAUAUAAAUGACAUAUAGAACCCACAUUUAAACAGGACAGAACUACAUAAUUGGAAAUCUGAAAGUUCAAUCAAAUAGUCUGCAUCUACUAUGAAAACAAAGCAUGAGAUUUCACUAACCUUAGCUCAAAAUUCAUAUUAGCAAUAAAAUGGUU